GAUGAACGCUGGCGGCGUGCCUAAUACAUGCAAGUCGAGCGAACAGACGAGGAGCUUGCUCCUUUGACGUUAGCGGCGGACGGGUGAGUAACACGUAGGUAACCUACCUAUAAGACUGGGAUAACUUCGGGAAUCCGGAGCUAAUACCGGAUAAUAUUUCGAACCGCAUGGUUCGAUAGUGAAAGAUGGCUUUGCUGUCACUUAUAGAUGGACCUGCGCCGUAUUAGCUAGUUGGUAAGGUAACGGCUUACCAAGGCAACGAUACGUAGCCGACCUGAGAGGGGGAUCGGCCACACUGGAACUGAGACACGGUCCAGACUCCUACGGGAGGCAGCAGUAGGGAAUCUUCCGCAAUGGGCGAAAGCCUGACGGAGCAACGCCGCGUGAGUGAUGAAGGUCUUCGGAUCGUAAAACUCUGUUAUUAGGGAAGAACAAACGUGUAAGUAACUGUGCACGUCUUGACGGUACCUAAUCAGAAAGCCACGGCUAACUACGUG
Molecule: ribosomal RNA, 497 nt
Filed under: uncultured bacterium
Lineage: Bacteria
Description: partial 16S ribosomal RNA
Rfam family: Bacterial small subunit ribosomal RNA
Source: RNAcentral